GAUGAACGCUGGCGGCGUGCCUAAUACAUGCAAGUCGAGCGAACAGAUGAGGAGCUUGCUCCUCUGACGUUAGCGGCGGACGGGUGAGUGACACGUGGAUAACCUACCUAUAAGACUGGGAUAACUUCGGGAAACCGGAGCUAAUACCGGAUAAUAUAUUGAACCGCAUGGUUCAAUAGUGAAAGACGGUUUUGCUGUCACUUAUAGAUGGAUCCGCGCCGCAUUAGCUAGUUGGUAAGGUAACGGCUUACCAAGGCGACGAUGCGUAGCCGACCUGAGAGGGUGAUCGGCCACACUGGAACUGAGACACGGUCCAGACUCCUACGGGAGGCAGCAGUAGGGAAUCUUCCGCAAUGGGCGAAAGCCUGACGGAGCAACGCCGCGUGAGUGAUGAAGGUCUUCGGAUCGUAAAACUCUGUUAUUAGGGAAGAACAAAUGUGUAAGUGACUAUGCACGUCUUGACGGUACCUAAUCAGAAAGCCACGGCUAACUACGUG
RNAcentral lists this ribosomal RNA (497 nucleotides) under uncultured bacterium. RNAcentral describes it as "partial 16S ribosomal RNA". It matches the Rfam family "Bacterial small subunit ribosomal RNA", at positions 28 to 507 of the family's 1533-position model. The record is from RNAcentral.